CCUGCAAAACGAAUCUAAGUUCCCCCUUAACCCUCUUUUCCCUCCCCAGACAAACCCAACCCAAAUGUGAUAGUUAAGGGCUAUUUAAAGGGGGUACAGCCCCUUUAAAAAAGGACACAACCUCCACCAGCGGAUAACCCCUGUACGCCCAACCCCGUGGGCCUUAAAGCAGCCACCCCCAAANNNUGCGUCAAAGCUCCAUCAACCAAAAACCCCCAAAACCAAUGCGACUCCCUACACCCACAGCAGGCCAACCUAUAACAAUAGAUGAAUCAAUGCUAGAACGAGUAACCAGGACACUAUGUCCCCCCAAGCGCCAGCCUGUAUACCAUUAACAGUAAAACCUCAAUAAUAACCACCCCACCAUUGAACCCACCCUGUCAA
This 384-nucleotide ribosomal RNA is filed under the name Ara macao (Scarlet macaw). RNAcentral describes it as "partial 16S large subunit ribosomal RNA". The record is from RNAcentral. Lineage: Eukaryota; Metazoa; Chordata; Aves; Psittaciformes; Psittacidae.